Molecule: long non-coding RNA, 128 nt
Organism: Octopus sinensis (East Asian common octopus)
Lineage: Eukaryota; Metazoa; Mollusca; Cephalopoda; Octopoda; Octopodidae
Exons: 3
Source: RefSeq, a predicted model, not a curated record
UUCACCAAUAAUACACAAUAUGUUAUCCUUAAUUGUUAAAUUUAUUCCGAAAAAAUUUUUCGUAUCCGAAAUGCAGUUCGAAGAAGCCCGCCAUUUACCGGAUAUAUGAUUUGUAAACUUCUCCAUGU